Molecule: ribosomal RNA, 582 nt
Filed under: uncultured bacterium
Lineage: Bacteria
Description: partial 16S ribosomal RNA
Rfam family: Bacterial small subunit ribosomal RNA
Source: RNAcentral
CUAAGAAUAUUCCGCAAUGGACGGAAGUCUGACGGAGCGACGCCGCGUGGAUGACGAAGGCCGAAAGGUUGUAAAGUUCUUUUGCUGGGGAAGAAUAACCGCAGGAGGGAAUGCCUGUGGGAUGACAAGAACCGGUGAAUAAGCCCCGGCCAACUACGUGCCAGCAGCCGCGGUAACACGUAGGGGGCGAGCGUUGUUCGGAAUUACUGGGCGUAAAGGGCAUGUAGGCGGCUUGGAAAGCCUGGCGUGAAAGUCUGCAGCUUAACUGCAGGGGUGCGCUGGGAACUGCUGAGCUUGAGUGACGGAGAGGGAGCUGGAAUUCCUGGUGUAGGGGUGAAAUCUGUAGAUAUCAGGAAGAACACCGAUGGCGAAGGCAAGCUCCUGGCCGAUGACUGACGCUGAGGUGCGAAAGUGUGGGGAUCAAACAGGAUUAGAUACCCUGGUAGUCCACACAGUCAACGAUGUGCACUAGGUGCUGGGGCGGUAGCUUCGGUGCCGGAGCGAACGUGGUAAGUGCACCGCCUGGGGAGUAUGCUCGCAAGGGUGAAACUCAAAUGAAUUGACGGGGUCAUAGCUGUUUCC